This 115-nucleotide transfer RNA is filed under the name Auriscalpium vulgare. RNAcentral describes it as "tRNA-Leu". It matches the Rfam family "tRNA". Rfam says of the family: Transfer RNA (tRNA) molecules are approximately 80 nucleotides in length. The record is from RNAcentral. Lineage: Eukaryota; Fungi; Basidiomycota; Agaricomycetes; Russulales; Auriscalpiaceae.
GGCAAGGUGGCCGAGUGGUCUAUGGCGUGUGACUCAAGCUGGCAAAGCUUCUGGAACUCAUCCAGUGUAUUCUCAUGGGCGCAAGUCCGCGCGGGUUCGAAUCCCGUCCUUGUCA